Molecule: ribosomal RNA, 392 nt
Filed under: Chthamalus dalli
Lineage: Eukaryota; Metazoa; Arthropoda; Thecostraca; Balanomorpha; Chthamalidae
Description: partial 12S ribosomal RNA
Source: RNAcentral
UUUGGACCAGGAUUAGAUACCCUGUUACUUCCGUUAAUAGGCUCUGGAACAGUAUUAAUAAAGAAAUUUAGCGGAUUUGGCGGCAAGAUAGCCCAUUUAGAGGAACCUGCCCUGUAAACGAUGAGCCACGAAAGGCCCUACUUUAUUUUGUAAUCAGUUUGUAUACCGCUGUUGUCAGUCAGUUUUAGUAGAAAACUUUCCAUAAUGAUAAAAAUCAUUGACUUCAAGUAAAGGUGCAGCUUAUAAUAAAGUUAGAGGUGGGUUACAAUUUAGAGAAAAAUACGAAUAAUAACAUUAAAAAUUAUUUGAAGGUGGAUUUAAUUGUAAAGUUCUAGCAAACUUGAUGAGAGCACUAACUUGUGUACACACCGCCCGUCGCUCUCUUUUUUAAA